AAGAAUUUGUAGGUCGAACAGACCUCCCCAACAUGGGGCUGCUCAUGUGGGGAAUCUUAAUCCAACAUCGAGGUCGCAAACCUGUCAUUUGAUAAGGACUCUUAAGACAGAUUACG
RNAcentral lists this ribosomal RNA (116 nucleotides) under Baetidae sp. CH-2014. RNAcentral describes it as "partial 16S ribosomal RNA". Lineage: Eukaryota; Metazoa; Arthropoda; Insecta; Ephemeroptera; Baetidae. The record is from RNAcentral.